Molecule: long non-coding RNA, 424 nt
Filed under: Vitis vinifera (wine grape)
Lineage: Eukaryota; Viridiplantae; Streptophyta; Magnoliopsida; Vitales; Vitaceae
Description: long non-coding RNA (VVIN_LNC008129)
Source: RNAcentral
CUCUGGCAACCUUUGAUAAUGGGUCACUUGUUAUGAUUUUCAUCAAAACCAGAAGACCCUGCAGGAAUUAGAUCAGCAUCAGCAUAGUUACUGGGCAGCAUUUGCAGCUAAGUUUGAGCCCCUGGAAUGGAGAAUUACUGGCUCUGCUAAUGCACUUAAGUGGCUUAAAAUUUUGGGUAGUUUCUUGGGAAACAAACAGCUUUGAUUCACAGCAUUAAAGGACAAUUGUUGAGACAAAUUUAUGAAUUAACUCAACUCAACAAGCUCUUGCUUUGAUUUAUUGUUGAACUGGAAAACAGCCACAAAGCCCAGUUUUCAUCACCAUAUGGCUCCCAAAGUUACAGAACCUCAGGGGUACGAACCAAGGAAGAGUUUGGAGUAAUAACCAAACCUACCAUCUCCCAACGCUCGUCCCCUUGUUGCC